Non-coding RNA from Ciona savignyi (Pacific transparent sea squirt), 60 nucleotides. NCBI's taxonomy places the organism in Eukaryota, Metazoa, Chordata, Ascidiacea, Phlebobranchia, Cionidae. The record is from Rfam.
UCUCGGGCUUGGUUAGUACUUGGAUGGGUGACCGCUUGGGAAUACCAAGUGUGAUAAGCA